GACGAGGGGUCCAAGCGUUGUUCGGAAUUAUUGGGCGUAAAGCGGGUGUAGGUGGCUCUAUAAGUCAGGAGUGAAAUCCCCAAGCUUAACUUGGGAAGUGCUUUGAUACUGCAGAGCUUGAAUGUGGGAGAGGAUAAUAGAAUUCCAGGUGUAGUGGUGAAAUACGUAGAUAUCUGGAGGAACACCGAUGGCGAAGGCAGGUCUCUGGGCCACUACUGACGCUGAGAAGCGAAAGCAUGGGGAGCGAACAGG
This 252-nucleotide ribosomal RNA is filed under the name uncultured bacterium. Its description in RNAcentral is "partial 16S ribosomal RNA". It matches the Rfam family "Bacterial small subunit ribosomal RNA", at positions 524 to 776 of the family's 1533-position model. The record is from RNAcentral.